This 204-nucleotide ribosomal RNA is filed under the name uncultured bacterium. Its description in RNAcentral is "partial 16S ribosomal RNA". It matches the Rfam family "Bacterial small subunit ribosomal RNA", at positions 1298 to 1500 of the family's 1533-position model. The record is from RNAcentral.
CUGUAGGCUGCAACUCGCCUACACAAGCGGAAUCGCUAGUAAUCGCGGAUCAGCAUGCCGCGGUGAAUACGUUCCCGGGGCCCUUGUACACACCGCCCGUCACACCAUGGGAGUUUGUAACGCCCAAAGUCGGUAGCCUAACCUUUAUGGAGGGAGCCGCCUAAGGCGGGACAGAUGACUGGGGUGAAGUCGUAACAAGGUAUC